CGGGGUGCAGCAGGCGCGAAAACUUUACAAUGCCGGCAACGGCGAUAAGGUAACCUCGAGUGCCAGGUUACAAAUCUGGCUGUCGUGAUGCCUAAAAAGCAUUGCAUAGCAAGGGCCGGGCAAGACCGGUGCCAGCCGCCGCGGUAACACCGGCGGCUCGAGUGGUAACCGUUAUUAUUGGGUCUAAAGGGUCUGUAGCCGGCCGGGUAAGUCUCUUGGGAAAUCUGGCAGCUUAACUGUCAGGCUUUCAGGAGAUACUGCCUGGCUCGAGGCCGGGAGAGGUGAGAGGUACUUCAGGGGUAGGGGUGAAAUCUUGUAAUCCUUGAAGGACCACCAGUGGCGAAGGCGUCUCACCAGAACGGACCUGACGGCAAGGGACGAAAGCUAGGGGCACGAACCGGAUUAGAUACCCGGGUAGUCCUAGCCGUAAACGAUACUCGCUAGGUGUCGGCCACGGUGCGACCGUGGUCGGUGCCGUAGGGAAGCCGUGAAGCGAGCCACCUAGGAAGUACGGCCGCAAGGCUGAAACUUAAAGGAAUUGGCGGGGGAGCACAAGGGCGAAUGCG
This 566-nucleotide ribosomal RNA is filed under the name uncultured archaeon. RNAcentral describes it as "bacterial SSU rRNA". It matches the Rfam family "Archaeal small subunit ribosomal RNA", at positions 326 to 892 of the family's 1478-position model. The record is from RNAcentral.